AUUGAACGCUGGCGGCAGGCCUAACACAUGCAAGUCGAGCGGAUGAAGGGAGCUUGCUCCUGGAUUCAGCGGCGGACGGGUGAGUAAUGCCUAGGAAUCUGCCUGGUAGUGGGGGAUAACGUCCGGAAACGGGCGCUAAUACCGCAUACGUCCUGAGGGAGAAAGUGGGUGAUCUUCGGACCUCACGCUCUCAGAUGAGCCUAGGUCGGAUUAGCUAGUUGGUGGGGUAAAGGCCUACCAAGGCGACGAUCCGUAACUGGUCUGAGAGGAUGAUCAGUCACACUGGAACUGAGACACGGUCCAGACUCCUACGGGAGGCAGCAGUGGGGAAUAUUGGACAAUGGGCGAAAGCCUGAUCCAGCCAUGCCGCGUGUGUGAAGAAGGUCUUCGGAUUGGAAAGCACUUUAAGUUGGGAGGAAGGGCAGUAAGUUAAUACCUUGCUGUUUUGACGUUACCAACAGAAUAAGCACCGGCUAACUUCGUG
RNAcentral lists this ribosomal RNA (484 nucleotides) under uncultured bacterium. Its description in RNAcentral is "partial 16S ribosomal RNA". It matches the Rfam family "Bacterial small subunit ribosomal RNA", at positions 30 to 507 of the family's 1533-position model. The record is from RNAcentral.